AUGUACGUGCGCAAUCUGGCGAGGCGCUUUCACCGCAAAAAAAACCUGGCGUUGCUCUUUAAGCUGGAUAUCAAGAAAGCAUUUGAUUCGGUCCGCUGGGACUAUCUUCUUGACCUCCUUCAUCACUUGGGAUUUCCUCCACGCUUCAGAGGAUGGAUAUCGACUCUCUUGCCAUCAGCCUCUUCGUGUGUCUCGCUCAACGGGAUUCCUGGCAUUCCAAUCAAGCUAGGAAGGGGCUUGAGGCAAGGCGAUCCUCUUUCCCCCUCCUCUUCGUGUUGGCCAUCAACCCUCUUCAUCACAUUCUCAAGAAAGCCACCGCCCAAGGAAAGUUGCACCCGCUUGGUGGUGAUGCAAUGCCAAUCAGAGCAUCACUUUAUGAGGAUGACACGGUGUUUUUCUUUGCGCCCAUCAAAGAUGAGGUCAAGUUCUUUGCGGAUACUCUUGCAAGCUUUGGGGAGGUCUCGGAGCUGA
RNAcentral lists this ribosomal RNA (471 nucleotides) under Triticum aestivum (bread wheat). Its description in RNAcentral is "partial small subunit ribosomal RNA". The record is from RNAcentral. Lineage: Eukaryota; Viridiplantae; Streptophyta; Magnoliopsida; Poales; Poaceae.